Chelonoidis abingdonii (Abingdon island giant tortoise) is the source of this 102-nucleotide non-coding RNA. Lineage: Eukaryota; Metazoa; Chordata; Testudines; Testudinidae. The record is from RefSeq and is a predicted model, not a curated record.
CUCAUGUAAUAGGGAAAUCCAUAUGACAGAUUGUAGGCCUGUAAGAAAUUAAUUUAUGGUACAUGAUUAGUUGCCACACCUAUGGGAGGCGAGUUUGUAGAG